AUUUGUCCCCUAAAUAGGGACUUGUAUGAACGGCUAAAUGAGGUUCUAACUGUCUCAUUAGACCAAUCAAUGAAACUGAUCUUUCAGUACAAAAGCUGAAAUAAACCCAUAAGACGAGAAGACCCUGUGGAGCUUAAAACUCAUACUAUAAACAAACUACACCUCAUUUUUUAGUUGGGGCGACUUUGGAACAAAACAAAACUUCCAUGCCAGGUCCCUAUUAAGGCCCACACGCCAAUAUAACUACUUAUUGACCCAGCCACCCCCUAAAGCUGAGCAACGAACCAAGUUACCCCAGGGAUAACAGCGCUAUCCCCUUCAAGAGUCCCUAUCGACAAGGGGGUUUACGACCUCGAUGUUGGAUCAGGACACCCCGGUGGUGCAACCGCUA
RNAcentral lists this ribosomal RNA (391 nucleotides) under Strophurus taenicauda taenicauda. RNAcentral's name for it is "partial 16S ribosomal RNA". It matches the Rfam family "Bacterial large subunit ribosomal RNA", at positions 1967 to 2564 of the family's 2925-position model. The record is from RNAcentral. Lineage: Eukaryota; Metazoa; Chordata; Lepidosauria; Squamata; Diplodactylidae.